AGAAAAGCCGGGGCUAGAGCGUGCAGCAGCCGGCGGGUAAUUCGUAGGGUGGCAGCGAUUUCCCGGACUUUUUGGGGUGAAUGGGCGGGGCCCGGCGGUUAUUUCAGUUCUGAUUGUGAAGUGCAAGCGUCAUCCCGGGAGGGGUCAUUCGGAAACUCGGUGAACUUGAGCUGCCAGAAGAGAGAAGCGGCAAUUCCCCGUGUAGACGCUGUAAUUGCGUAGAGAUGUCGACGGAACACCAGUGGGCGCAGGCGGCUUUUUAGGUCUGUCAACUCAUCGACUGAGGCGCGAAAGACGUGGGAGCCAACCACGAUUAGAUAUCCCUGCGUAGUCCACGCCGUAAACGAUGAGGUGCUAAGUGUUAGAGGGUUUCCGCCCUUUAGUGCUGCAGCUAACCCAUUAAGCACUCCGCCCGGGGAGUACGGUCGCAAGACUGAAACUCAAAGGAAUUGACGGGGGCCCGCCCAAGCGGUGGAGCAUGUGGUUUAAUUCGAAGCAACGCGAAGAACCUUACCAGGUCUUGACAUCCUCUGACAACUCUAGAGAUAGAGCGUUCCCCUUCGGGGGACAGAGUGACAGGUGGUGCAUGGUUGUCGUCAGCUCGUGUCGUGAGAUGUUGGGUUAAGUCCCCGCAACGAGCGCAACCCUUGAUCUUAGUUGCCAGCAUUUAGUGGGGCACUCUAAGGUGACUGCCGGUGACAAACCGGAGGAAGGUGGGGAUGACGUCAAAUCAUCAUGCCCCUUAUGACCUGGGCUACACACGUGCUACAAUGGAUGGUACAAAGGGCUGCAAGACCGCGAGGUCAAGCCAAUCCCAUAAAACCAUUCUCAGUUCGGAUUGUAGGCUGCAACUCGCCUACAUGAAGCUGGAAUCGCUAGUAAUCGCGGAUCAGCAUGCCGCGGUGAAUACGUUCCCGGGCCUUGUACACACCGCCCGUCACACCACGAGAGUUUGUAACACCCGAAGUCGGUGGAGUAACCG
This 982-nucleotide ribosomal RNA is filed under the name Bacillus sp. (in: firmicutes). Its description in RNAcentral is "bacterial SSU rRNA". It matches the Rfam family "Bacterial small subunit ribosomal RNA", at positions 484 to 1441 of the family's 1533-position model. The record is from RNAcentral. Lineage: Bacteria; Bacillati; Bacillota; Bacilli; Caryophanales; Bacillaceae.